GACGAACGCGGCGGCGUGCCUAAUACAUGCAAGUAGAACGCUGAAGGAGGAGCUUGCUUCUCUGGAUGAGUUGCGAACGGGUGAGUAACGCGUAGGUAACCUGCCUGGUAGCGGGGGAUAACUAUUGGAAACGAUAGCUAAUACCGCAUAAGAGUAAAUGUUGCACGACAUUUGCUUAAAAGGUGCAAUUGCAUCACUACCAGAUGGACCUGCGUUGUAUUAGCUAGUUGGUGAGGUAACGGCUCACCAAGGCAACGAUACAUAGCCGACCUGAGAGGGUGAUCGGCCACACUGGGACUGAGACACGGCCCAGACUCCUACGGGAGGCAGCAGUAGGGAAUCUUCGGCAAUGGACGGAAGUCUGACCGAGCAACGCCGCGUGAGUGAAGAAGGUUUUCGGAUCGUAAAGCUCUGUUGUAAGAGAAGAACGAGUGUGAGAGUGGAAAAGUUCCACCACUG
This 459-nucleotide ribosomal RNA is filed under the name Streptococcus mitis. Its description in RNAcentral is "bacterial SSU rRNA". It matches the Rfam family "Bacterial small subunit ribosomal RNA", at positions 28 to 471 of the family's 1533-position model. Lineage: Bacteria; Bacillati; Bacillota; Bacilli; Lactobacillales; Streptococcaceae. The record is from RNAcentral.